UUUUUUUUUUUUUUUUUGAGACGGAGUUUCGCUCUUUGACAUAGGCUGGAGUGCAGUGGCGCGAUCUCAGCUCCCUGCAACCUCCAUCUCUUGGGUUCAAGCGAUCCUCCUGCCUCAGCCUCCUGAGUAGCUGGUGUUAUAGGCACCCGCCACCAUGCCCAACUAAUUUUUGUAUUUUUAGUAGAGACAGAGUUUUGCCAUGUUGGCCAGGCUGGUCUUGAACUCCUGGCCUCAGGUGAUCUACCUGCCUCAGAAUCCCAAAGUGCUAGGAUUACAGGUGAGAGCCACCAUGCCCGGCCUAUCUCAUGUAUCUUUGGUGGGCACCCCUCCACUCUUCGGGCAAACAUCAUUUUGAAAUACAGUAUAUUUUCAAUUCGAUAUUUAAGGUCCUCAAGGGAACAACAUCAUAAGAUGUUUAUCUUUUCCUCCUGAAACACGUGGUGGUAAAUGCUUCACAGAUAUUCAUCUCUACCCCUUACCUUCAGAAGCCAUAGGGAUGUUGCUUUGGUUUGGGUUUUGGGUUCUGUUGGAGUGUUUACCUUCUGCAUAGUUGUUUAAGAGAUAACCGUGGGCUACAGGAGAAGCAGAGACGUUUUUGGACUACUCUUCUUUCCCCUGACCAUCCUGAUGGGCAUAAUUGCUACUGCACCAGCCUCAUUCUUUCUCCCGGGUCCACUCCUGCCCCUUCCAGCCUGUUGUCCAUGUGGCAGCCAGAGAGGUCAUUGUGGAGUGUGAAGGUCGCAGUGCCCCCUGCUCAGACAUCCACGAUGCUCAUGACAUCGCACAAAACCCUCCUUCCUCAUCAUGGCACUCAAGGCUGCUCCCUGCCAGCCUCUCUGGCCUGCUCCAACCUCAGUGCGCCCCAAACAGACCUUCUCUCUGACCUUUGAACUUGCUGAACCCUUUUCUACCUCAGGGCGUUCGCACUAUCUCUUCCCCCUGCCGGGAACACUGCCCCCGAGUUUUACACGGCUGUCUUUUUCUGAUCCAGGCCUCAGAUACCACCUCUUCAGAGAGGUCCUCCUGGUCACUUCAUCGAUGUGGCCCCCCGCUGAGUCACUGUCAGCCCCAGCCCUCAUUUAUCUCCUUUACAGCACCGAGCGCUGCAGGUCAGGGUCUAAUUCAUCUGCGAGUUUGUGUCUUCGCUGUCACCCUCUACCAGUGCCAUGAGAUGGGAACACGUCUGCCUGUGCCCUGAUGAAGCCCAGCACGGCCACCAUGCCUGGCAUGGAGCAGACACUUAGGCAGUGCUUCUUACAUAUGCACCUCAGGGAAUGGGGCCAGCGAUGGUCUGUCCAGGUUCCCUAACCUUCCCUUCCCACCCAAAUGAAUGACGUUCAGAGACAGGGACACUGGGUCAUCCCAACUGCUCCCCUCCUGGUCAUCAGAGGCCAGACCCACAGGACAGGGAAGUCUCAGGAGGCCCCUCUGGGAGGUGUUCACGGCUAUGAAUCACUGCAGAAGGGAAUGAGCUGGGCAGCUGGUGCCCUUCAUCUGGGUCGCAGCCAGGUGGAGAUUUGAACGAAAUCCUUUGGCAAAGAGCAAGCAAAUCUCCCAGGGAUGGCGACUUGUCAGAUGUCAGCGGGUCUGGAAAACAGCAAUCACUCCUAAUCCAAAAAUCAGCCUGAGCAGGGCCGGAAGGGGUCCUGCAGGCCUUCACGUCACCUUCUACAGACUCCAUGUUGAAACCAGCCUCGACGCCAGGAGUCUCUCCUUAUUAGGUAUAAAGGUCAUCUUAAAAGAUUCCUUCACUUCUCCCACCACCCAUCCUGAAGACAGACAAUUAAUCUGGCAAAUGCUGACUGGUGACUACUCUGUGCCAGGCUGUGCCCUCAGCAUAGGGGGGAUGUGGACACAAAACAAGCUCCCUGCACCCCUGAGCUCAGCAGGUCACUGGGGAAGACUGUUGCUAGGCAAGUGAC
RNAcentral lists this long non-coding RNA (1922 nucleotides) under Macaca fascicularis (crab-eating macaque). Its description in RNAcentral is "lncRNA (ENSMFAG00000051857.1)". The record is from RNAcentral. Lineage: Eukaryota; Metazoa; Chordata; Mammalia; Primates; Cercopithecidae.